GGGCGGGGCAAGAGACGCCAGGAGCCCAGGACGCCGCAGCGGAAAGAGACACUGAGGGAGCAUUGAGCCAUCAAGUUAUGUGCGCACCAAUGCUACCCAGGACCGGAUCAUCGCCCGUACCUACCAAGGUACCGCCAACUCAGAACUCUUACAGCCGCUUCUUGAGACCCACAACUAAUGGGAUUUUUGCGGAAACACGGAAGCACGGAAAAGAUGCGGAUGCACUUUUGAAAAAAAAAGGAACACGGAUCCGCAAAUAAAAUGGAACACGGAUCCGCAAAAAAAAAGGAACGUAAAUCUGGAAAGAAAAUAUACUGACGUGUGAAUGGAGCCUUAGGGCCACAUUUGCCUAAAAAUGUAAACAAAAUGUUUCUGUUUUUGUGACGUUUUGUAUAUAGACAUCUAAUAAAGCCUGAAGUUUUAUUCCUCUUA
Molecule: long non-coding RNA, 432 nt
Organism: Bufo gargarizans (Asiatic toad)
Lineage: Eukaryota; Metazoa; Chordata; Amphibia; Anura; Bufonidae
Exons: 2
Source: RefSeq, a predicted model, not a curated record